UGCCGGAUCGUCUAAUGGUAGGACGACAGACUCUGAAUCUGUAAAUCUUGGUUCGAUUCCAGGUCCGGCAG
Candidatus Harrisonbacteria bacterium is the source of this 71-nucleotide non-coding RNA. Lineage: Bacteria; Candidatus Harrisoniibacteriota. The record is from Rfam.